AACGAACGCUGGCGGCAUGCCUAACACAUGCAAGUCGAACGAGACCUUCGGGUCUAGUGGCGCACGGGUGCGUAACGCGUGGGAACCUGCCCUUAGGUUCGGAAUAACUCCCCGAAAGGGGUGCUAAUACCGGAUAAUGUCUUCGGACCAAAGAUUUAUCGCCUUUGGAUGGGCCCGCGUUGGAUUAGCUAGUUGGUAGGGGUAAAAGCCUACCAAGGCGACGAUCCAUAGCUGGUCUGAGAGGAUGAUCAGCCACACUGGGACUGAGACACGGCCCAGACUCCUACGGGAGGCAGCAGUGGGGAAUAUUGGACAAUGGGCGAAAGCCUGAUCCAGCAAUGCCGCGUGAGUGAUGAAGGCCUUAGGGUUGUAAAGCUCUUUUACCCGGGAUGAUAAUGACAGUACCGGGAGAAUAAGCGCCGGCUAACUCCGUG
RNAcentral lists this ribosomal RNA (434 nucleotides) under uncultured bacterium. Its description in RNAcentral is "partial 16S ribosomal RNA". It matches the Rfam family "Bacterial small subunit ribosomal RNA", at positions 29 to 507 of the family's 1533-position model. The record is from RNAcentral.